AGUGGGUGGUCCCUCCAUAUAGCGAACAAAUCUUUCGCCUUUUACUAAGGAUUUCCGUGUGGGGGGACAAUGUGCCUUUUUGGGUUACAAUUUUUCCUAACGGCUUUCCCCCGGGUGGGGGAG
Small nuclear RNA from Zophobas morio, 123 nucleotides. RefSeq annotates it as U5 spliceosomal RNA. The transcript has a single exon. Lineage: Eukaryota; Metazoa; Arthropoda; Insecta; Coleoptera; Tenebrionidae. The record is from RefSeq and is a predicted model, not a curated record.